RNAcentral lists this ribosomal RNA (441 nucleotides) under uncultured Bacillota bacterium. Its description in RNAcentral is "bacterial SSU rRNA". It matches the Rfam family "Bacterial small subunit ribosomal RNA", at positions 917 to 1359 of the family's 1533-position model. The record is from RNAcentral. Lineage: Bacteria; Bacillati; Bacillota.
GGACCCGCACAAGCAGUGGAGUAUGUGGUUUAAUUCGACGAUACGCGAAAAUCUUACCAGGUCUUGACAUCCAACUAACGAGGUGGAAACACAUUAGGUGCCCCUUCGGGGGAAAGUUGAGACAGGUGGUGCAUGGUUGUCGUCAGCUCGUGUCGUGAGAUGUUGGGUUAAGUCCCGCAACGAGCGCGACCCUUACGGUUAGUUGCUACGCAAGAGCACUCUAGUCGGACUGCCGUUGACAAAACGGAGGAAGGUGGGGACGACGUCAAAUCCUCAUGCCCUUUAUGACCUGGGCAACACACGUACUACAAUGAUCGAUACAACGGGAGGCCAAGGCGCGAGCCGGAGCAGAUCCUACAAAAAUCGGUCUCAGUUCGGAUUGUAGGCUGAAACUCGCCUGCAUGAAGUUGGAAUUGCUAGUAAUCGCGGAUCAGCAUGCCG